GUGCUCACUUCGGCAGCACAUAUACUGAAACUGAAACGAUACAGAGAAGAUUAGCAUGGCCCCUGCGCUUUGUAUUGAAGCCUAUAUUAAAUGCUGUUGUACUGAUCA
Molecule: small nuclear RNA, 108 nt
Filed under: Sorex araneus (European shrew)
Lineage: Eukaryota; Metazoa; Chordata; Mammalia; Eulipotyphla; Soricidae
Source: RNAcentral